Molecule: ribosomal RNA, 253 nt
Filed under: uncultured bacterium
Lineage: Bacteria
Description: partial 16S ribosomal RNA
Rfam family: Bacterial small subunit ribosomal RNA
Source: RNAcentral
UACAGAGGUCUCAAGCGUUGUUCGGAUUCAUUGGGCGUAAAGGGUGCGUAGGUGGCGCCAUAAGUCAGGUGUGAAACCUCGGGGCUUAACUCCGAAACUGCAUUUGAUACUGUGGUGCUUGAGGACUGGAGAGGAGACUGGAAUUCACGGUGUAGCAGUGAAAUGCGUAGAUAUCGUGAGGAAGACCAGUGGCGAAGGCGGGUCUCUGGACAGUUCCUGACACUGAGGCACGAAGGCCAGGGGAGCAAACGGG